ACCUGGGUGGCUCAGUCGGUUGAGCAUCUGACUUCGGCUCAGGUCAUGAUCUCGCAGUUCGUGAGUUUGAGCCCCACAUCAGGCU
This 85-nucleotide transfer RNA is filed under the name Felis catus (domestic cat). It matches the Rfam family "tRNA". Rfam says of the family: Transfer RNA (tRNA) molecules are approximately 80 nucleotides in length. Their secondary structure includes four short double-helical elements and three loops (D, anti-codon, and T loops). The record is from Rfam by way of RNAcentral. Lineage: Eukaryota; Metazoa; Chordata; Mammalia; Carnivora; Felidae.